UACAGAGGGGGCAAGCGUUGUUCGGAAUUACUGGGCGUAAAGGGCGCGUAGGCGGCCGCCUAAGUCAGACGUGAAAUCCCUCGGCUCAACCGGGGAACUGCGUCUGAUACUGGGUGGCUUGAAUUCGGGAGAGGGAUGCGGAAUUCCAGGUGUAGCGGUGAAAUGCGUAGAUAUCUGGAGGAACACCGGUGGCGAAGGCGGCAUCCUGGACCGGCAUUGACGCUGAGGCGCGAAAGCUAGGGGAGCAAACGGG
Molecule: ribosomal RNA, 253 nt
Filed under: uncultured bacterium
Lineage: Bacteria
Description: partial 16S ribosomal RNA
Rfam family: Bacterial small subunit ribosomal RNA
Source: RNAcentral